CUGAGUGUAAAAACUCCCAAACCACUGUGAACAUACCAUGUUGCUUCGGCGGUUCCCGUCCUGUCCUGCCUCACCGCGAGCCAGGCCGGGCCGCCGCCGGAGGACCCAAACUCUUGUCUUUAUAGUGACUUUCUGAGUGGCAUAAGCAAAAUAAAUCA
This 158-nucleotide unclassified non-coding RNA is filed under the name uncultured fungus. RNAcentral describes it as "sequence contains ITS1, 5.8S rRNA gene". Lineage: Eukaryota; Fungi. The record is from RNAcentral.